Molecule: long non-coding RNA, 697 nt
Filed under: Olea europaea (common olive)
Lineage: Eukaryota; Viridiplantae; Streptophyta; Magnoliopsida; Lamiales; Oleaceae
Description: long non-coding RNA (OEUR_LNC008029)
Source: RNAcentral
UUAAAUUCCCCAAGAGGGAUAGUUGGUUAAAGUCCUUAAGCAAUGGCUUUGCAGGAAAGGAAGUGAUCUAGCAAUGACAAUGAGGAGGUGGUCUAUUGGUGAUGAGUGAUUCUCGUCAUGUUUGGCUAAGCUUAAAAGAGCAAUACUCUGGUUUUGACUUUGGUUGGGUAGAUAUUGCAGGGAGCCUUGCACAACAUUUAUGCUCGUAAUACCUUGUAGGUCGACGAGGAAUGAGAGAUUUGUAUUGGACUAGUUCGUUGAGGGAGUAAUGAGUCUCUCUAUUAAACUUGACAAAAUAGUCGAGUAACUCGUGGAGAAAUGAUGUCUCUUUACGUCUAUUAUGACUUCUUAGUGAUCAAAUACUACUGCACUUUGAGGUGUAAGCUAAUUUUCAAUUUCCAAAGCAUGAGCAAUACUCUGGUUUUGACUUUGGUUGGGUAGAUAUUGCAGGGAGCCUUGCACAACAUUUAUGCUCGUAAUACCUUGUAGGUCGACGAGGAAUGAGAGAUUUGUAUUGGACUAGUUCGUUGAGGGAGUAAUGAGUCUCUCUAUUAAACUUGACAAAAUAGUCGAGUAACUCGUGGAGAAAUGAUGUCUCUUUACGUCUAUUAUGACUUCUUAGUGAUCAAAUACUACUGCACUUUGAGGUGUAAGCUAAUUUUCAAUUUCCAAAGCAUUUUGGGUGGCUUCUUCCUGG